CCUACGGGAGGCAGCAGUGGGGAAUUUUGGACAAUGGGCGCAAGCCUGAUCCAGCAAUGCCGCGUGAGUGAAGAAGGCCUUCGGGUUGUAAAGCUCUUUUGUCAGGGAAGAAACGGUGGGGGCUAAUAUCCUCCACUAAUGACGGUACCUGAAGAAUAAGCACCGGCUAACUACGUGCCAGCAGCCGCGGUAAUACGUAGGGUGCAAGCGUUAAUCGGAAUUACUGGGCGUAAAGCGUGCGCAGGCGGUUUUGUAAGUUUGUCGUGAAAUCCCCGGGCUCAACCUGGGAAUGGCGAUGAAGACUGCAAGGCUAGAAUCUGGCAGAGGGGGGUAGAAUUCCACGUGUAGCAGUGAAAUGCGUAGAGAUGUGGAGGAACACCGAUGGCGAAGGCAGCCCCCUGGGUCAAGAUUGACGCUCAUGCACGAAAGCGUGGGGAGCAAACAGGAUUAGAUACCCUGGUAGUCCACGCCCUAAACGAUGUCUACUAGUUGUCGGGUUUUAAUUAACUUGGUAACGCAGCUAACGCGUGAAGUAGACCGCCUGGGGAGUACGGUCGCAAGAUUAAAACUCAAAAGGAAUUGACGGCUGGAGACGUGCCGACGGACGACGACGAGGGAGGAGG
RNAcentral lists this ribosomal RNA (623 nucleotides) under uncultured bacterium. RNAcentral's name for it is "bacterial SSU rRNA". It matches the Rfam family "Bacterial small subunit ribosomal RNA", at positions 338 to 951 of the family's 1533-position model. The record is from RNAcentral.